CACCUCGCUAACUCCGUGCCCAGCAGCCGCGUAAUACGGAGGGUGCUAGCGUUAAUGGGAAUUAAGCUGGGCGUACACGCGCACGCUGGGCCGUCUGUUAAGUUGGAUGUGAAGAUCCCCCGGGCUUACCGGGAUGAGAACUGCAUCCCAAGACUGGCAAGCUAGAGUCUCGUAGGACCAGGGAGGUAGAAUUCCAGGUGUAGCGCCGUGAAAUGCGUAGAGAUCUGGAGGAAUACCAGGUGGCGAAGGCGGCCUCCUGGACGAAGACUGACGCUCAGGUGCGAAAGCGUGGUGAGCAAAACAGGAUUAGAUACCCUGGUAGUCCACGCUGAUAAACGAUGUCGAUUUGGAGGUUGUGCCCUUGAGGCGUGGCUUCCGAAGCUAACGCGUUAAUAUCGACCGCCUGGGGAGUACGGCCGCAAGAUUAAAUACUCAAAUGAAUUGACGGGGGCCCGCACAAGCGGUGGAGCAUGUGGUUUACAUUCGAUGCAACGCGAAGAACCUUACCUACUCUGUGACAUCCAGCGCAAUCCUGUAGAGAUACGGGAGUGCCUAUCGGGAACGCUGAGACUAAGGUGCAUGCAUGGCUGUCUGUCAGCUCGUGUUGUGAAAUGUUCGGGUUAAGUCCCGCAACGAGCGCAACCCUUAUCCUUUGUUGCCAGCGGUUCGUGCCGGGAACUCAAAUUCGGAGACUGCCAGUGAUAAACGUGGAGGAAGGUGGGGAUGACGUCAAGUCAUCAUGGCCCUUACGAGUAGGGCUGACACACGUGCUACAAUGGCGUAUACAAAGAGAAGCGAACUCGCGAGAGCAAGCGGACCUCAUAAAGUACGUCGUAGUCCGGAUUGGAGUCUGCAACUCGACUCCAUGAAGUCGGAAUCGCUAGUAAUGCGUGGAUCAGAAUGCCACGGUGAAUACGUUCCCGGGCCUUGUACACACCGCCCGUCACACCAUGGGAGUGGGUUCAAGCAAAAGAAGUAGGUAGCUUAACCUUCAAGCAGGGCGAGACCUUCACCUACCAUAGUGAUCCAGCGACUCCCAAAAAAAAACAAUGUGCCU
RNAcentral lists this ribosomal RNA (1057 nucleotides) under Edwardsiella tarda. RNAcentral describes it as "bacterial SSU rRNA". It matches the Rfam family "Bacterial small subunit ribosomal RNA", at positions 491 to 1452 of the family's 1533-position model. Lineage: Bacteria; Pseudomonadati; Pseudomonadota; Gammaproteobacteria; Enterobacterales; Hafniaceae. The record is from RNAcentral.